Molecule: ribosomal RNA, 477 nt
Filed under: uncultured organism
Description: partial 16S ribosomal RNA
Rfam family: Bacterial small subunit ribosomal RNA
Source: RNAcentral
UACACUCCUACGGGAGGCAGCAGUGGGGAAUUUUGGACAAUGGGCGAAAGCCUGAUCCAGCAAUGCCGCGUGUGUGAAGAAGGCCUUCGGGUUGUAAAGCACUUUUGUCCGGAAAGAAAUCCUUGGCUCUAAUACAGUCGGGGGAUGACGGUACCGGAAGAAUAAGCACCGGCUAACUACGUGCCAGCAGCCGCGGUAAUACGUAGGGUGCGAGCGUUAAUCGGAAUUACUGGGCGUAAAGCGUGCGCAGGCGGUUUGCUAAGACCGAUGUGAAAUCCCCGGGCUCAACCUGGGAACUGCAUUGGUGACUGGCAGGCUAGAGUAUGGCAGAGGGGGGUAGAAUUCCACGUGUAGCAGUGAAAUGCGUAGAGAUGUGGAGGAAUACCGAUGGCGAAGGCAGCCCCCUGGGCCAAUACUGACGCUCAUGCACGAAAGCGUGGGGAGCAAACAGGAUUAGAUACCCCUGUAGUCCCAUGA